ACAUCCUACCCCCCGGAAAGUCAUUUCACAGCAAUAGCCAUUAAUGAAGAGGGACAAGAUGUACCUAGGAUGAACCCACUUGUGAUUCUGCAGAAUGAUCAUUCUUCCAGAUCUUCACGGAGAUUUCAGGAUAAGAGAUCCCACCUAAACAAACAUUAGGAAGAGCUUUCUGAUAGUAUUAAUGCUGUCUGACAGUUGAAUAUGCUGCCUUGGAUUGUGGUGUAGUCUCCUUCUUUGGCUGCCAUUCCCUCCAUCCUCUCUGGGAUCUUCAUAUUUCUCCCACAUUGUGUCACUUUGCUUGGAUAACAGAAGGUCAACAGCCUGCAAACCUAGCAAAAGGAAAGAAUGCAUCCCUUGAGUCCCAUAGUUGGUGUAAACUGCUACAGGAGACUUCCAUGAAAUGGCCUCGCAGAAGAAUGAUGUGGCAACCAAGGUGGGAGGACAGUCACUUUGGAUCAUUUAUCAAAGCAUUAAUCAAGUGUGCAAGGGUUUCCUAUGGUGAGCCAGCUUCUGUCAGCUUGAAAUAUUGGAGUGAGGAAGAUUUUAAAGGCCUCAUGAAAUUGGUGCCAGACAAAAGUAGAUGUGUGUGAGAGAGAGAGAGAGAAAGAGAGAGAGAGGGCUGGCACUCUGGAAAACCACUUAGGUCAGUGUACAUGUGACCUCAGCAGAUAUUUAAGCCCUGGUUUUCCACUUAGGUCAGUGUAGGGUUAGAUCAGACCAAUGACAACCAAACUCCACACAAUUGAUCUGGAGUAAUGCAUGGCAAGGGCAACUUAAUGUGUUCUUGUCCCACAUUCGUGAAAACCAAGAGAUAAUCUCAAGUCUGGUCCAGAAUUUAGUCUAUCUCCCAACUUUAGGCUUACAGGAAUUGGCCUCAACUGACCCCACUGCCAAACUUUAAUCUAGCCAUCAAAACUGUUAAAAAAUACUGGAACUUGAUAAGAGACAUCCCGGGAUGUGAUAGACCCCCGUUGGUAGCAUAUAAAAGAACAAGGAAUAUUGGGGAUAUAUUGGUACAUUCAAACAUAACCAAUGAGCUGUAAAAUCUAAUCUGGUGGGCAAUUAUCGCUGCCACCAUUGUUCAGUAUGCAGCCAAUUGAUAGAGACCAAAAUCUUGACACACCAACAUCUAUCAUUCGAAUUUAAAUUUCCCCAUUUUGCCACCUGUACAACCAAAGGGGUUAUUUACAUGAUAAUUUGUGAUUGUAAUUUAUCAUAUGUGGGGCAGACUCGUCGAGAAGUUAAGAGCAGAAUUAUAGAGCACAGGAGUAAAAUACGAAAUCAUGCCAGAGAAUCCAUACUGUAUAAACAUUUCUAUGAUCUACAGCAUAGCCCUGAAUCAUUCAAAUACCACAUACUAGAAGUAGUAUCACAAUCCAAACAUAUGGACUUCAAUAAGAAACUUUUGCAAAGGGAAACAUGUUGGAUUUUCAGAUUAUGGACAGAACAUCCACAGGGCUUAAAUGAACAAAAUUCAUACAGUUGUUAUAUAUAGAACCUUAUCAUACUAUAAAUCCCUAAAUGAAUACACCCAAUACAAUAAGGGUACUCAUAGCACCAUCUGGUGGUAAUUUCUUCUAUAUCUUUAAAUAAACCUCUCUGUUUCUUUAACAUCUUCCCCUUUAAAUUGAGGCAACCCCUUGAUGCUUUUCAUACUCGCAAUUAGAACCCAACACACAGCAGAGUAUCCCGUGAGUAUAUACUGUUUUGGAAAUAUACAAUUUCUUUAAAAACAAUUUUUUGGAUGUAUGUAACUCUUUAAUGCUUAUGGCCACUCCUUGUUCCUUUGACCUAGAUUCCACUGUAAAAAACAUGUAUUUCUAAGGAGAACAAGUGUUAAAUUUGGAACUGUACCACCAGAGGAAGGCCUGAUGCAGGGCCGAAACCGGUCGUGGCGGACUUACUCUUCUUGGCAUUAGAAUACACAACGCCGAUUGCAUUUCAAUGUAUAUUGGACAAUCCAUUUGAGGCUGUUUGUUAUCACUGUGAAUUUAACGCCGACUGCAUGUCAAUGUAUAUUGGACAAUCCAUUUGAUGGUGUUUGUUAUUACUGUGAGUAGACAUAUUGUUUACUGAACUGGUUUAUUUUCAAUUGUAUAUAUAGGAGGUCAUUUGUGUUUGAGUUGACUCGGGAACCCAUUUAGAGUGUAGAGUCUCUCUGUGACCCAUACCCAGUGUGUGGCAUACCAGAUUGAUUCAGAAUAUUGGUUAAUGUAGAUCUGCCCUGGUCACGGAAGUCCACUAGGUAAGUAUUGCUAAGGGAAACUUGUCUGAAAAAUGUUGCCAAAAGAACUCUAUAAGUGAGUAUCUAUAAGUGAGUAUCUAUAAGUCACGGUCUACUUGAAGGCACACUUUCUUCCCAUGUGGAUGUGUACAUUAUGAUCCUGGACAUGUUCUUGAACCUUCAGUGAUAACAGGAAAGUGUAAAUAAGAGCAAACCCGACUGAAAUGAACAACAAAGGGCCGGGCUGUGGCACA
Anolis carolinensis (green anole) is the source of this 2478-nucleotide long non-coding RNA. RefSeq lists it as uncharacterized. Lineage: Eukaryota; Metazoa; Chordata; Lepidosauria; Squamata; Anolidae. The transcript is spliced from 4 exons. The record is from RefSeq and is a predicted model, not a curated record.